Molecule: transfer RNA, 79 nt
Filed under: Anguilla anguilla (European eel)
Lineage: Eukaryota; Metazoa; Chordata; Actinopteri; Anguilliformes; Anguillidae
Description: tRNA-OTHER
Source: RNAcentral
GGCAGUGUAGUGUAGUGGCUAAGGAGUUGGCCUUGUAACCUAAAGGUCGCAGGUUCGAUUCCCCGGCAGGACACUGCCG